Molecule: unclassified non-coding RNA, 383 nt
Filed under: uncultured bacterium
Lineage: Bacteria
Description: contains 16S-23S intergenic spacer region
Source: RNAcentral
UCCUGGUUUCCCAGGCAGUCCCAUCAGAGUGCCCAUAAAAAUGGUAGCAACUGACGGCAAGAGUUGCGCUCGUUAGAGGACUUAACCAGACAUCUCACGACACGAGCUGACGACAGCCAUGCAGCACCUGUUCACUUGUCCAAGCAAAGCUUGGAAAAUUGUGUUUCCACAACGGUCAAGUGUAUGUCAAGCCUAGGUAAGGUUCCUCGCGUAGUGUCGAAUUAAACCACAUGUUCCACCGCUUGUGCGGACCCCCGUCAAUUCCUUUGAGUUUUAGUCUUGCGACCGUAGUUCCCAGGCGGAUCACUUAACGCGUUAGCUACGAUACUGACCUCGCAAAGCAAAGCCAACAUCAAGUGAUCAUCGUUUACGGCGUGGACUAC